UUUGAUGGCGACCGGCGCACGGGUGAGUAACACGUAUCCAACCUGCCGAUGACUCGGGGAUAGCCUUUCGAAAGAAAGAUUAAUACCCGAUGGCAUAGUUCUUCCGCAUGGUAGAAUUAUUAAAGAAUUUCGGUCAUCGAUGGGGAUGCGUUCCAUUAGGUUGUUGGCGGGGUAACGGCCCACCAAGCCUUCGAUGGAUAGGGGUUCUGAGAGGAAGGUCCCCCACAUUGGAACUGAGACACGGUCCAA
Molecule: ribosomal RNA, 249 nt
Filed under: uncultured bacterium
Lineage: Bacteria
Description: partial 16S ribosomal RNA
Rfam family: Bacterial small subunit ribosomal RNA
Source: RNAcentral